CAUUGAUAGACCCCUCAUGUGUUAUUUUAUUCUUUAAAUGCAGAAGAUAGCCCUGUGAGAUGGGUUUAGCAAUCUACAUGUCACAGGGGAGGAGCAUGAGGUUCAGAGACGCUGAGUAAUGUGCCCACAGACUCUCAGCUGGCAUAGAAAGCUGGGGGUUUAGCCUCCAGGUUCUGUGUUCUCAACACUGUCCGGGUGUCUCCUAGCAGAUACAUUGACGUCCUGAUGUUUGUAUCUGCAGUUGAAAACUUGUCUUCUAGAAACCCAUGAACUCUGGCAUCCUCACUGCUGCGCGGAUACACCGGGACGCCCCCUCAGCCGCGACAGUAACGGCCUCCGGCCACCAGGGGGCGGCCAGGGCGCGCUGCGGAUACACCGGGACGCCCCCUCAGCCGCGACAGUAACGGCCUCCGGCCACCAGAGGGCGGCCAGGGCGCGCUGCGGAUACACCGGGACGCCCCCUCAGCCGCGACAGUAACGGCCUCCGGCCACCAGGGGGCGGCACACGGCGCCUCAAACUGUAAACGGCUCCGGGCUUCGGAAUCCGGGCGGGGAGCGGAGAGCGGUUCGCAAAAGCCAGUUGGUGCCCGGAUGCCGGCAUUGUCACGGGAUCGCGGCCAAAGGGGGUAGAAGACAGCGCAACAGUCGCUCUUCUUGCAUGAAGCUAUAUGCAUCUAGUGUGACGGAUUAUCCUACCUGGAGACUGUCUUUUUCAGCUCGGCAUCACGGGGGCGGGGGCGGUGACCCCCAUCCGGGCUCCCCGGGGGCGGUGACCCCCAUCCCGGCUCCCCGGGGGCGGUGACCCCCAUCCCGGCUCCCCGGCCUUCUCUCCUCCGCCCGCUCCUGCCUCCCUUCUGCUUACUCCUCUCCUGGUCAACAGGUCAGCUCGGGGUCCUGCUUCCAACCUCCUCCUCCUAGUUGAAGCCGGUUCUCAGGAGAGAACCUGCCAUCCGCAGCUUUACACCUCGGCAGGAAUGUAAAUCACUCUUCUCCCGUCCCAGGAAGCCUUUCCAGUGUUCUGAUUCCAGAAAGCAGGUGUGUGUGGCCGGUUCAAGGAAUUUCAAGCAUCAGCAGGCAGAGGAAAGUACCAGAGUGGAAGGCAGCCCACAGGGUGUCGAAAUCAAGCCACCCAGGGAGCCCGCAGAUCCCACCCUCUCCGGUGAGAGAGUUUGGUGGGGAGCACUUCAUCCAAUGCAGGGAACAGCGUUACUG
Molecule: long non-coding RNA, 1212 nt
Filed under: Homo sapiens (human)
Lineage: Eukaryota; Metazoa; Chordata; Mammalia; Primates; Hominidae
Description: non-protein coding lnc-SLC35F5-19:1
Source: RNAcentral